This 1677-nucleotide ribosomal RNA is filed under the name metagenome. Its description in RNAcentral is "bacterial LSU rRNA". It matches the Rfam family "Bacterial large subunit ribosomal RNA", at positions 1158 to 2925 of the family's 2925-position model. The record is from RNAcentral.
UCUGCGCCGAAAAUUUAACGGGGCUAAACUAUACACCGAAGCUUGGGAUACAUCUAAUGUAUGGUAGGAGAGCGUUCUGUAUGGGGAGAAGUCGUAGCGAAAGCGGCGGUGGACUAUACAGAAGUGAGAAUGCCGGAAUAAGUAGCGAGAAUUAAGUGAGAAUCUUAAUGGCCGAAAGUCUAAGGUUUUUGGAGGAAGGUUCGUCCGCUCCAAGUAAGUCGGGAGCUAAGGUCAGGCCGAAAGGCGUAGCCGAUGCACAUACGGUUGAUAUUCCGUAACCAUCUGUAAUUUAAGCAAAGGGACACUUCAAAAGGGUGUGACCCGGGCGUUGGUUGACCCGGGCGUAAGGGACCGAAAUUAGAGUAGGGAAGCACACUUGGCUGAAGGCGAGAAAAGCUUUGCGUAUAGAAACAGAUGCCCGUACCGCAAACCGACACAGGUGGACAGGAAGAGAAUUCUAAGGCCAGCGGGAGAAGGGUAGUUAAGGAACUCGGCAAAUUGACUCCGUAACUUCGGAAUAAGGAGUGCUCGAAAGAGCCGCAGAGAAUAGGCCCAGGCGACUGUUUAGCAAAAACACAGGUCUCUGCCAAAUCGAAAGAUGAAGUAUAGGGGCUGACACCUGCCCGGUGCCGGAAGGUUAAGAGGAGGAGUGAGAGCUCCGAAUUGAAGCCCCGGUAAACGGCGGCCGUAACAAUAACGGUCCUAAGGUAGCGAAAUUCCUUGUCGGGUAAGUUCCGACCCGCACGAAUGGUGUAACGAUCUGGGCACUGUCUCAACUACCCACCCGGCGAAAUUGUAGUACCGGUGAAGAUGCCGGUUACCUGCGGCAAGACGGAAAGACCCCAUGGAGCUUUACUGUAGCCUGAUAUUGGGUUUCGGAAAUCUAUGUACAGGAUAGGCGGGAGACUGGGAAACAUGAGCGUCAGCUUGUGUGGAGUCGAUGUUGGGAUACCGCCCUUAGGUUUCUGGAAUUCUAACCUGCGGCCGUGAAUCCGGUCGGGGGACAUUGUCAGGUGGGCAGUUUGACUGGGGCGGUCGCCUCCGAAAAGGUAACGGAGGCGCUCAAAGGUUAGCUCAGCACGGACGGAAACCGUGCCUCUGAGUGUAAACGCAAAAGCUAGCCUAACUGCGAGGGUGACGGCCCGAGCAGUAACGAAAGUUGGAGUUAGUGAUCCGGCGGUAUGUGAAUGGAAAUGCCGUCGCUCAACGGAUAAAAGCUACCCUGGGGAUAACAGGCUGAUCUCCCCCAAGAGUCCACAUCGACGGGGAGGUUUGGCACCUCGAUGUCGGCUCAUCACAUCCUGGGGCUGUAUUCGGUCCCAAGGGUUCGGCUGUUCGCCGAUUAAAGUGGUACGCGAGCUGGGUUCAGAACGUCGCGAGACAGUUCGGUCCCUAUCUGUCGUGGGCGCAGGAUAUUUGAGGAGCUCUGUCCUUAGUACGAGAGGACCGGGAUGGACGUACCUCUGGUGCACCAGUUGUCAUGCCAAUGGCACGGCUGGGCAGCUAUGUACGGAACGGAUAAACGCUGAAAGCAUCUAAGCGUGAAGCCGACUCCAAGAUUAGAUAUCCCAUCGUAUAACGAGUAAGACCCCUUGAAGACUACGAGGUUGAUAGGCUGCGUGUGUAAGUGCCGUGAGGCAUUCAGCUUGGCAGUACUAAUAGGUCGAGGGCUUGAUC